GUGACGCCCGGGUAAUCAAGCUACAGUAAACCUUCAUUAAUGAUGCCAGGUCAUCAUGAUUAAAAUUUUGCUAAACCUCACGUGUUUCAAACUUAGUUCAAAUACAAAUUCAAAUAACAAGUCAAAUUAUAGUUUCAUAAAACAGUGAAUUAAAAAUGUUCAAAGGGUUAUAAAUAUUCACUAACUAAUUAGCAAAUAACAUCCAACAUUAUAUAGAAUGUUUAAUUGCCCUAAAACAAUUAAAACAAUGACCAAAACAGCCUCAUUAAUCCAUUUUCAUUUAUGCACAAUUCAAAUGCUCAUCAAACCUUUUUGUGGCAGUGCCUAAAAUGGCUAUGCUAAUUUAGGACAAGUCUCAUACUUAACUAAAAGUCAUUUGCUUUUGUAAAUAAAAAUAAAACAGAAAAAGAAAAGAAAAAGAAAACAGAAUUGGAAAAUGAAACAACUAUACUACUGUGCACUAAGCCUAGUACUGUGCACUAGUCCUGCUAGCUAUACGGGAGGCCCAGCCCAACUUGUAACUCUCCUUCCUCCUCUGUUCAUAGAGGGGAGGUGGACGCCGGGCAGCCGCCUAUGGCCGCGAUGGCCACAUGCCGGCCAUCCGUCGCGCCCCCGUCGACCUACAAAGCGUCGACCCGCACCCUGAAACCCUAGCCCGCCUUCCCGUUCCCCACACAUGCGUCGUUUCCUCUCUACUCACCUCGCCGAGCGCCUCCAUGGCCGCGUCGUCAACAUGCACGCGGCCACCGGCCACCGUCCUCCACACCGACGGGUCCAGGAGGUCCACCGUGGACGAGUUCGUCGCUUGCGCCCUCGAGAACAAGCCGGAGAGCCCCGCAGCGCCGCCAUCGCCUUGUUCCGCACCGCCUCGGCCACCGUCGAUCCGCGGCGGACACCACCGCUUCGACGCCACCCCGACCUUCCCGAGUCUUCUGCGAGCAUCGCUGUGAGCCCCGCAUACUUUCCCCUUUCCUCCAUAGCUCGAACUCGCACCGUAGCCACCUCCCCUGCUCGAGUCCGGCGCCGCAGUCCACCAUGGCCUAUUCGUCGCUAGCGCCCGAGCUCCUCUGCUCCGUCCGAGCGCUCCAGCACGCUCCGGGUGAGCUAUAGGUCCGAUUUAGCUAGUUAGGUAGCCCGUUCGCGUUGCGUUUGGCGGUUUUUCAUUUGAGCCGAGCUCCGCCGCCGUCGUAUCCUCCCGUGGCCGCGCCUGGAGCACUACUCCCGCGUGCGCCCGCGCGAGCCCCUUGCCGUCCCUGGCCUUGCCCCCGUGCGGCUAUCGCUGCUACGACCGCGCCCUCCCCAGACGCACCAGGGCUUUGCCCUCCUCACGCCGCGCCUCGCCGGGCCCUCCCGCUGACCACUGGCCGCUCGCCCCGCCGCCUCACAGCACCCCCCUGCCGCUUGCGCCCUCCGCCGUGGCCUCUGGCCACCGACGUCUAACCACCGGCCUAAAUGGCCAUUAAGGCACUAACCCCCCUCUAACCCAAUGACAUGUGGGCACCUUCCGCCUAACUUUUUGGUUAAAAAAUAUAUAAUCUAAGUGGUGCCUAUGACAGUGGGGCCCCAGCCCUAAUUAGUUUAAUUUAAACACUUUGUGAAAGUUAUGAGGCACUGACCGUGGGACCCCCCGGUCCCCGUUGACCAGUCAACGUUGACUGCUGGCUGGGCAGUCAACGGGGCCCACUGUCAGCCCUUGUACACGGAUGGGUGCACUGGACCGGGUGCUCCUAGCCUUUUCCUUUUAUUUUUCGAAAUUAAAUAAGUUCUAGGAUAUUUGUAAAACUUUGAAAAAUCAUAUAAAAUAAUCUGUAACUCGGAUGAAAAUACUUUGUACAUGAAAGUUGCUCGGAACGACGAGACGAAUCCGAAAACAUGCAACUUUUUUCCUUCGGUUCAUCUGUCCGAAAACGCAAAGCACGGGGAAUACUUUCCCGGAUGUUUCCCCCCUUCGCCGGUAUUACCCAUCCCUGCGUUAGAUCACCUCUAGCACCGCGUAUUGCCAUGUUAUGCUUUGUGAUGCUUUGACUACUAUGUUAUUUAUUGUGUUCCCCCUCCGUUACUUCUUUCCGGUUGACCCCGAGACCGCUGCCGGCAUCCUGUGACCGACUACAUCGACGACGAACCCUUCUUGCCAGAGCAACCAGGCAAGCCCCCCCUCUUGAUCACCAGUUAUCGCCUAUUCUUCUCUAUACUGCUUGCAUUAGAGUAGUGUAGCAUGUUACUGCUUUCCGUUAAUCCUAUUCUACUGCAUAGCCUGUCUUUGCCACUACUGUUGUUACCUUUACCUGCAAUCCUAAAUACUUAGUAUAGGAUGCUAGUAUUCCAUCAGUGGCCCUACACUCUUGUCCAUCUGCCAUGCUAUACUACUGGGCCGUGAUCACUUCGGGAGGUGAUCACGGGCAUAUGCUAUAUACUUUAUACUGUUACAUUACUUAUGAUACUGUUCAGAGAUGGGGGCUGAAGGGGUAGGUGGCCAUCCCGGUAGAGGUGGGCCUGGGUUCCCGACGGCCCCCGACUGUUACUUUGUGGCGGAGCGACAGGGCAGGUUGAGACCACCUAGGAGAGAGGUGGGCCUGGCCCUGGUUGGUGUUCGCGGAUACUUUAAUUAACACGCUUAACAAGAUCAUGGUAUUUGAUCUGAGUCUGGCCACUGGCCUAUACGCACUAACCAACUACAUGGGAACAGUUAUAGGCACUCGACAUCGUGGUAUCAGCCGAAGCCUUUGUGACGUCAGCGACUGAGCGGCGCGCGCCGGGUUGGACUAGAACGCUUGCUCUUGUAUAAGGGAGGCUAGGUCUGCUCACCGACCGCGUACGAAACGUGCAGGUGCGCAAUGGGCGAUGGGCCCAGACCCCUGCGCGCAUAGGAUUUAGACCGGCGUGCUGACCUCUCUGUUGUGCCUAGGUGGGGCUGCGAAGUGUUGGUCUUCCGAGGCCGGGCAUGACCCAGGAAAGUGUGUCCGGCCAAAUGGGAUCGAGCGUGUUGGGUAAUGUGGUGCACCCCUGCAGGGAAGUUUAUCUAUUCGAAUAGUCGUGUCCCUCGAUAAAAGGACGACCCGGAGUUGUACCUUGACCUUAUGACAACUAGAACCGGAUACUUAAUAAAACACACCCUUCCAAGUGCCAGAUACAACCCGGUGAUUGCUCUCUCACAGGUCGACGAGGAGAGGAUCGUCGAGUAGGAUUAUGCUAUGCGAUGCUACUUGGAGGACUUCAAUCUACUCUCUUCUACAUGCUGCAAGGCGGAGGCUGCCAGAAGCGUAGUCUUCGAUAGGACUAGCUAUCCCCCUCUUAUUCUAGCAUUCUGCAGUUCAGUCCACCGAUAUUGCCUCUUUACACAUAUACCCAUGCAUAUGUAGUGUAGAUCCUUGCUUGCGAGUACUUUGGAUGAGUACUCACGGUUGCUUUUCUCCCUCUUUUCCCCCUUUCCAUUCUACCUGGUUGUCGUAACCAGAUGUUGGAGCCCAGGAGCCAGACGCCAAUGUCGAUGAUGACUCCUACUACACUGGAGGUGCCUACUACUACGUGCAGGCCGCUGACGACGACCGGGAGUAGUUUAGGAGGAUCCCAGGCAGGAGGCUUGCGCCUCUUUCGAUCUGUAUCCCAGUUUGUGCUAGCCUUCUUAAGGCAAACUUGUUUAACUUAUGUCUGUACUCAGAUAUUGUUGCUUCCCCUGACUCGUCUAUGAUCGAGCACUUGUAUUCGAGCCCUCUAGGCCCUUGGCUUGUAUUAUGAUGCUUGUAUGACUUAUUUUAUUUUUAGAGUUGUGUUGUGAUAUCUUCCCGUGAGUCCCUGAUCUUGAUCGUACAUGUUUGCGUGUAUGAUUAGUGUACGAUUGAAUCGGGGGCGUCACAAGUUGGUAUCAGAGCCGACUGCCUGUAGGAAUCCCCUUCCACACUCCUUGGCCGAAGUCGAGUCUAGACAUUGCAAAACUUUUACUAACAUGGUUGUGUGUCUUACGAGCCCAAGUCGCCGUUGGGUGGUAUUAGAUCUUUUAUUCCUCGUAUAUACUCUGAGACUUUGAUCUCUCUACUAUUCGGGUUAAAUGAAUUUGCUAACUCUGACAUUAGGAUCUCGUGAUCGCAUCCACCCAAAGAGCCCCUUAUUGCAGAGGAUCGUCUGCUGCAUCGGAAGAUUCCGAACAUACUCUCUGAUGUUCUCUCGAGACUCUGUGCCCAUCGCUUUUGCAAUCCCCUACCACCGAUACAUCCCUAUGGAUAAAUACUUACACCUGACCUUCUUACUUCCAUUCCCAGCUGCUCUUGUUAUGACAAGAUGCAUCAAAUUAUUCUUUGACUAUUAAGAAUCUCUUGAGCCACUGCCUUACAGAUCUUUGUCGCAUGAAUAUCCCUACGGAUAAUUCCUCGCACUUAUCAGGUAUCCGCUCAUUCCCAGUUGUUCAUGUGUUUCGCAAAAGACUUUGAAAUACUAUUUGAUCUUUCAAAAAUCCUCAACAGCCUGUUGUUCUUGAAAUUCUUGCUUGCUUGCAUUAUGGUUAAUCCCAUAAGUAUAGUAACCUUAUUGGCACCCUUUAUCACUAUCAUUUUUGAGUCCAUUGAUUUAAUAAGUUGUGAAUGUUCACAAUCACCAGUCGAAUCCUAGGAUUAUCCUUCCGGCUCAGACAUCCUUUGGAUAUGAGCUGGUUCUUGACCAAUCAAUGCCUUGAUCGGUUGUGCUUCUAAGUCUAUUGAACUUAUUCAUUUUCGAUCAGAACGAUUGCUUCUGAUCCCUUGAUUUGGAAAUCAUAAAAUUUCUUUUGCAUUAAGCUUUGAAUUAGUCAGUUGUUUCUAUAAUCUGAUGCCUUGGCAUUCCUUCUUCCUCUGAUUGAGUACCAAUACUCACAUCAGCCCCGUUGUGGACCGCCAGACCAAUUGCUUGGUUAUUAUCCGACCGUGUCCUUCAUUUCCAAUAACCUUGAGAGUUUCUCCCUUGAUACAUAAUGCCUUUGGUAAAUUGUGUCUUCUGCCUUUGACAAGUUAUAUCCUAUGCCUUUGUCAACCAUGCUCUGCUUUGAGCACGUGUUAAUUGAUCCUAAAGUUCAUGGUAUAUGUUCUAAGAUGCCCCGAUGGGUUGAACCUAUGCCUUCCUUAAUCUGUGUGAACCUGAAAGUUUUCACAGGUCAUACUCCUCUGGUAAUUCACCAGGUAGGUUUUGACACUGAAAUCAUUUUUAUUUAGAGGAGUGAAUGAAAGGUUAUGCAUUGGAGAAGUGGGAGUCGACCUUGAACUUUGUGUUCAUGCCCAUGGACACGAUGUAGAACUAAUCAUGGAAGCUGCUCAUGAAAAUAAUUACCCCCUUGUUAUGAGUUCAUCUUGUAUCCGUGGUUUGAUCAUUUAUGAUUGUGGUUCCGACCAUAAUUUCUUCCUUUGAUACCAUUUCUCGUGCAAGUUUAAGCUCUUGUCUUCUGCAGAGCAAUACCCUAGCCAACCUCUACUUUGAUCUCUCAUCGAGUAUUACCCCCUGGUAUCUCAAGAUUAUCUUGGAACUGCAUAACUUCUUAUGGGUUCUUCAUCAACUGUUCUGAUUCCAAUUUUCCUGGGUUCUGGGUUGUCGUCAACCGAGAACACCAAAUAGUGAACCGAGUCCGCAAUCUGAUUCAAUAACUCUGAGUAAUUUUCGUUGCUUAUGAGUUUAAAAAUCCUUCAAGUCAUCCCAAGCCUGAUCAGCUAUAUCAUUAUCGUGCUAAAUUUUAACUGUGCUACUUGGUCCUUAUUCCCGGAGCACAACUUUUGACGAUGAGCCAAGCUUACGUCGAUCUUCCUCGUCUUAUCAUUUCGCCUUGAACAUCACGCUUGAUUCCGAGUGUGUGUCGUAUCCGUGGUUCCAAUGAGCCUUCGCUUCACCAUUGCUUUUUCUUGAUGUCAUCGCUGUUCGAUUGCUUCUUCGUGAAAUCUCUCGACAAUUGUGUCGUGAUCAUCAUCAACAUUUUGAGCUCUUCCAGGAUAUCAAUUGAAUUCUUGAAGAGGAAUACCAUCCUUGCCCUCGAUGAUUAGUGUUAUCAUCGACCACUUUAUUGCCUUCCUUUCAACACAAACUUGUUCGUGUUUCGUGUUAUACCUUGAGAUCCAUGCUAUCCAGCAAUUGUUCUUCUUUACCUUGGAGUAUUACCAUCUUUUAUGUCAAUAAUGUCGUGAGAAUUUCACUACCUAUUAUGCAUUCUUGGUACAAGUGAUACUUCCUGCCAUCUUCGAUCAUUCCUUGGUCCCCGUGUUGUUUCUAAUCGGAAAACCAACAAUUGAACUAUGCUGUGCGACUUAAAAAUUCUAGCAACCCUAUUGAUUUGAAGUUAACGGUCGAUAGUUUCAUUCUAAGUCUAUUUCUUAUUGAAUCAUCAUUCAAACAUUGAUCGUGCUACCCAGUCCAGAUUUCAGGGUGCACCCUUCUAUCAUUGUUAACUUGUGUAUGUUUUCCUCGAUCAUACAUCAUUAUACCAUUUGAUUUGACAAAUGUUAUCUCCUUGUUCACAUGAUUGUGGAAAUCCAUCUUUUUGGAAUUCUCAAUGGAUUGGCGCUGAGUCCAUCAGUCACCUCCUCACUCUCUCCUUGAUUUAAUGAUGAACUCUUGUUUCAAAACUCGCUACCAUAGUUCAUUUCCCGAGGAUCUUACAAUGUCAUCUUGUCAAUUUGUGUUGCACCUUUUCUUCUCAGACAUCUUGAGUCUGAGGUAUCCUGACACCAAUCAGAUCUGAAUCUCGGUCAGAUAGGAUGGUUGGAACAUUUUUCCAAGAGUUAUAGCAUAGGUCUUUAUAUGACCCGGUAAGGUGAGGUCAUGCCUAGCACACCUGGCUAGGGGAGCCAUUGUUAUAAUACCCCCCCCCCCCUUCAGCAAGGUUAGCGAUUCUUCCAUGAGGAAAUCGUAAGACUUAUUCUAUAAGUUGUUCCUGAGGGAUCCUUUGUGUAUCCAAAAUCCGACCCUUGAUGACCAUGUCAAUGCUAUCUCGAAGCAUGUCUGUGGUACUCGGAUCAUCAAUAAGAUCAUUUGUAGCACAAUGCUAAAUUUUCCUUAUCAAUUAUCCAAACACCUUUGUAUGAGUAAUGCCAUGAAUAUUCUCUCCCAUUACCUAAAUGGUUUUCUGCGUUAUAUCCUGUCAUAGAUAUCAUGUUAUGCUUGUCCUUGGGAAGCAUAUACCCCUGAAAUAUGUGUUUAAACACAUUCUUCCUUUCCAUUGUUCUGUUUAAUCUGAUGAUCACCUUUUGCUUUCCAUUGUUUUGUUUAACCUUACUGGUGAUCUAUAUGAUCUAAGCAGUAAUAUUCUCCUGCUUAGGUAAGCACCUCGUUGAGCCACUCUGUCAGUAAGACCCUGUUAAUAUUGUUGAUAAUAUUCCGGUAACCACCGAUGGACGAGAACUUUACCUAUUGGUCCGCCUCGUUCAACGAGCAGGAAGAUGGUUCUCUUCGUCCCUCGCCCUUGGUACCUACGUUGCCGACAUAAUUGAUAGGCUAUCCUCUGACAUGUCUUAUUAUCAUGACUGUGAAAAAUAUCACCGCCCUUUCUACUUUAAACCCACACGGUGGGCCCAUAACCCAGAGUUCCACAGGAUCAAAACCUGACUCUGUUGUACACCCUGUUUUCAAAGUUAUUCCUCGCGCUUGACUUCGUAUGUAAUUCAUGGGUCAUCUUCCUAGUAAUCUACUUUGGUAUCAGACGCAAUACUUAUUCUCGUUGCUCUGGACCCCUUUCGCAUGUUGUUUCAGACAUCGAACGAUUGCCUAUCCGUUUGAAACUUCUCAUGGUACCUUCUUACUUUGCUCUCGAUACCUUCUUAAGUUUCAAUUCGGGACAUACUUAUGCUUCUUCCCCUGAGUUAACCAUCCGAUGCUCAAUUUUGUUAGAAUCCGUCCUUAUAGAGUUUUUUCCCCUCUUAUCCUUUCGUAAGUACGGUGAAGAUCCUAAAGGAAGGACGACAACUUCAUCAUGAUGCAUUGAUGCAUAGGAAUGAAGACAUCAAUGCUAUGGAUCGACCUCUUUCAGAAGAGCAACUAAGACUGAGAAAAUUUGUUAGAAUUUCGUAACCAAAUCCGUUCCCCCUUACUCCCCCUCUUAAAUCUCGGGACGAGAUUUCUUGUAGUGGAGGAGAUUUGUGAUGCCCAGGUAAUCAAGCUACAGUAAACCUUCGUUAAUGAUGUCGGGUCAUCAUGAUUAAAAUUUUUCUAAACCUCACGUGUUUCAAACUUAGUUCAAACAGAAAUUCAAAUACAAAUUCAAAUAACAAGUCAAAUUAUAGUUUCAUAAAACAGUGAAUUAAAAAUGUUCAAAGGGUUAUACAUAUUCACUAACUAAUUAGCAAAUAACAUCCAACAUUAUAUAGAAUGUUUAAUUGCGCUAACACAAUUAAAACAAUGACAAAAACAGCCUCAUUAAUCCAUUUUCAUUUAUGCACAAUUCAAAUGUUCAUCAAACCUUUUUGUGGCAGUGCCUAAAAUGGCUAUGCUAAUUUAGGACAAGUCUCAUACUUAACUAAAAGUCAUUUGCUUUUGUAAAUAAAAAGAAAACAGAAACAGAAAA
RNAcentral lists this long non-coding RNA (8506 nucleotides) under Triticum aestivum (bread wheat). RNAcentral's name for it is "long non-coding RNA (TAES_LNC017556)". The record is from RNAcentral. Lineage: Eukaryota; Viridiplantae; Streptophyta; Magnoliopsida; Poales; Poaceae.